This 365-nucleotide unclassified non-coding RNA is filed under the name uncultured fungus. RNAcentral describes it as "partial contains 5.8S ribosomal RNA and internal transcribed spacer 2". The stretch from base 1 to 133 matches the Rfam family "5.8S ribosomal RNA", at positions 22 to 154 of the family's 154-position model. Lineage: Eukaryota; Fungi. The record is from RNAcentral.
UGGUUCUGGCAUCGAUGAAGAACGCAGCGAAAUGCGAUAAGUAAUGUGAAUUGCAGAAUUCAGUGAAUCAUCGAAUCUUUGAACGCACAUUGCGCCCCCUGGCAUUCCGGGGGGCAUGCCCGUUCGAGCGUCAUAUAACAAAUCUCACGCCUGGCGUGGUAAUGGGCCCUGUGGACUAGCAGGCCUUAAAUCCGGGUGGUUUAUUAAUUAGUAAACGGGGAGUCCUGUAGCAUGGUGCCGCAAAUAUCGACAAAUAUAUGCAGCGCGUAGUUUGUACACCCUGCCACUUUUAACGCGUUCGCGCAGUGUUCGGGAGACCGAACACACACAAGUUUGACCUCGGAUCGGGUAGGAAUACCCGCUGA